UACGGAGGGUGCGAGCGUUGUCCGGAAUCACUGGGCGUAAAGGGCGCGUAGGCGGCGCGGGAAGUCCGUGGUGAAAGCCCGAGGCUCAACUUCGGGUCGGCCAUGGAUACUCCUGGGCUCGAGCACUGUAGAGGCAGGUGGAAUUCCGGGUGUAGCGGUGGAAUGCGUAGAGAUCCGGAAGAACACCGGUGGCGAAGGCGGCCUGCUGGGCAGUGACCGCAAGGUCUUAAAAGCUGACGCUGAGGCGCGACAGCGUGGGGAGCAAACAGG
RNAcentral lists this ribosomal RNA (270 nucleotides) under uncultured bacterium. RNAcentral describes it as "partial 16S ribosomal RNA". It matches the Rfam family "Bacterial small subunit ribosomal RNA", at positions 524 to 776 of the family's 1533-position model. The record is from RNAcentral.